Long non-coding RNA from Rosa rugosa (rugosa rose), 1274 nucleotides. RefSeq lists it as uncharacterized. Lineage: Eukaryota; Viridiplantae; Streptophyta; Magnoliopsida; Rosales; Rosaceae. The transcript has 5 exons. The record is from RefSeq and is a predicted model, not a curated record.
AAAAAAAAAAAAUCCUUUCCUUUCUGUCGGUCUUCUCCCUCUGUACUUUUCGCGAAGGCACCGGAGGAGAUGUUGAUGUUGCAUGAUGAAGACUUGAAAGGAUUACUAAUUCAAAGAACACAGGUCUGCAAUUCAGCUAUUAGAUUUCAAUUGAUGGGCAAUUGUAGUUUCCGAGAGAGAGAGAGAGAUAAGAAAUCGGUUGUGUUUCUUUGCUUUACACGAAGAGAUAGAGAGAGAUCAGAGGCAAGUUCUCACCUCAUCAUCUGAGAUCCGGGGUUAGUUGCUCUUCUUCAAGUUUCAACCUUUAGAACUUUGGAUCGUUCGUCGUAUUGUUUGUUUAGAACACCCCGCGAUUGGGAUCACUAUGUUUUGAGCACUAAAACUGAAUCUGUGAGUGGUUUAUGUGAUUAUGGGGAUAUAUAUAUCUUCUUUAGUCCCUACUUUCGAAUCUGUGUAAUCAUCUAUUGACCAUAAAGAUCCAAUCGUGGUAUCCACCGAAUUCUUGGAAUAGAGGGUGGAUACAGAGGGUUUUUGCCAGAAGUACAAUUCCCUUAACACCAAAGAUUGUGAAUGACAUCCAUAAACGUGGUGACACCAACCUUGGGACAUCACGAGGUAGCCAUGAUACCUCAAAGAUUGCGGACAGCAUUCAGAACAGAGGAAUUAAUCAGUGCUGCCAUUUUGCCCAAAUAACAAUGCAAUUCACAUCUGUACUCUGAUCCAAUCCAAAUGGGAAAACCUGUUCUUCAGAAGGAUUUCAAUGGCUGCAUUUGUUUUCCCAUACUCUUGAUAUAGAAUGCUGUAUAUCAACAAUGGAAACUUGGAGCAUUGACUUCAUGCAGUCUUGCUUAUUUACAUAAGGCCAUUCAACCAAAGGUGAUCUUCUUGGCCACUAAGCACUUUGUAAAGGAAUGGAAAUUUUCUGGUGGUGUAGAAAGAACUAUUAGUAACAUUGGUUUGCCAAAUCAAGUUUGACUGAUAAGGAAAUUGAAGUCAAGAGUGAGUUGCCUCCAAGUGAGAUGGUGGUAAUGCCACUAGAUGCAACUAUUAGACAGCUUAAACAAGAAGCUGAGAGUGUCCUCAGAGAUGCAUAUUAUGACAGAAGAGUUUGUGGUGAUGGAAAUCAAAGGCCUGGAGGAAUCGGAUGAUAUACAGGUACUUUCUGGACCAGUUCAAUCGAGGACAGUUUGUUUCUCUUCACACAAAUACUAUUCCGAUUAAUGUAAUAUACGGUAUUUUAUCAGUUGAAUCAAGAAUAAAGUCAUUUUCAAUUA